RNAcentral lists this long non-coding RNA (489 nucleotides) under Homo sapiens (human). RNAcentral describes it as "HSALNT0405488". Lineage: Eukaryota; Metazoa; Chordata; Mammalia; Primates; Hominidae. The record is from RNAcentral.
CCUCACUAUUGGGCCGGUGUGGGGCCGGGGAAGGGAGGGGAGGAUUAUAUGUGCAGACCUUCUCCUUGUUCGGGGCAUUCAGACCCUGUGGUCUGGUCACAGCCUGCCACCAUCGGGCACGUGUUCCUAGCAGUGGGAUGGUAGCGCCAAGGGGAGGGGCCAGAAUGACAGACAACAAAGAAGAACGCAGAGAAUUAGAAGAGGGGAUGUGCGUGAGAGUUCCUAGUCUGGGCCACCAGGAAGGUCUCUGAGAGGCAGUGACAGUGAAGUAGAAUCCCUGAGUGAUGACGAGGAGCCAGCCACUAGUGUUCUGGUGAUUCUACUUUUAAACACCUGGCUCUCUGGGGUAGGGGGAGAGAAAAAUAAAUGCUCUGAUAUGCAGCAUCUGCUGAUUCCCGUGGUGUAAAUACUCCUAAUUUCAAGCCACCAAAGUGAUGUCAGCUGUCAGCCGGAUUGCAAAAUUCCUGAAUAUUUAACAAUGGGCUCCGG